RNAcentral lists this ribosomal RNA (253 nucleotides) under uncultured bacterium. Its description in RNAcentral is "partial 16S ribosomal RNA". It matches the Rfam family "Bacterial small subunit ribosomal RNA", at positions 524 to 776 of the family's 1533-position model. The record is from RNAcentral.
UACGUAGGUGGCAAGCGUUGUCCGGAAUUAUUGGGCGUAAAGCGCGCGCAGGUGGUUUCUUAAGUCUGAUGUGAAAGCCCACGGCUCAACCGUGGAGGGUCAUUGGAAACUGGGGAACUUGAGUGCAGAAGAGGAAAGUGGAAUUCCAAGUGUAGCGGCGAAAUGCGUAGAGAUUUGGAGGAACACCAGUGGCGAAGGCGACUUUCUGGGCUGUAACUGACACUGAGGCGCGAAAGCGUGGGGAGCAAACAGG